UUUAGUAUCAAUAUUCUAACGUUCUUACUGAUGACUGGUUCGACCUCACAUUCAAGCCGAGAGUGAAGUCUACGUCGUCUCAGGGCCGUGGCCGAACAGAAGCUGGUAAACAUUGCUUACGUAGGUGUCGUUGUGUAUGUGAGGCAACCGUUUUGUAGAAAUUACCUGCAUACGAAGAUCGAGUCAUCUUGAAAAGCGUCCUCCAGUGGCUGAAAGCAAUGUGUAUCCCGUCGUAAGACCUAAACGAUCUAAAUCGUGGUAGCUGUGAUCCGUGCAGGUGACUGUAAACAUGAGGGAUCGUUACGAAUAAGUUGUUUAAAAGAAGUGAUUAGCCCGUUCAAGCCUGUGAGUACAGGAAUUAGCGCGGGACCACUGACUGUUUCAACGUGAUUGGGAUAGGAUCGGAAGUGAGUUAACGGGUCAUAUCUGUUCCUAGUGACGCAUUGAAUCUUGUAUAGCUCCCUGUAAGUGUUUCAUGUGUUCUUGUGCUGGGGAAUCCAUCCCCUUGUGUUCUGAAGUGUUUUGUGACUGUCCACAAAGUGGACUGGUGAACGAUGGAAUUAUCACACACAAAAACAUGGCAAGAGGUCUCAGAUUACUUUGGGACUGAUCCAGAAAGGGGUCUCUCAGAAGCUCAGAUCAAGAAAUUUCUUGAAAAAUAUGGCCAUAAUGAAUUACCAGCAGAGGAGAGUAAACCAUUAUGGCAGCUUAUAUUGGAACAAUUUGAUGAUCUGUUAGUAAAGAUUUUACUUCUAGCUGCAGUGAUAUCUUUU
Molecule: long non-coding RNA, 773 nt
Organism: Limulus polyphemus (Atlantic horseshoe crab)
Lineage: Eukaryota; Metazoa; Arthropoda; Merostomata; Xiphosura; Limulidae
Exons: 6
Source: RefSeq, a predicted model, not a curated record